CCUACGGGAGGCAGCAGUGAGGAAUAGUGGUCAAUGGGCGCAAGCCUGAACCAGCAAAGUAGCGUGAAGGAAGGAGGCCCUAUGGGUGGAAAACUUCUUUUAUAGGGGAAUAAAGUGCAGUAUGUAUACAGCUUUGAGUGUACCUUAUGAAUAAGGAAGGGCUAACGCCGUGCCAGCAGCCGCGGUAAUACGGAGGAUCCGAGCGUUAUCCGGAUUUCUUGGGUUGAAAGGGAGCGUAGGCGGGUUGUUAAGUCAGUUGUGCAAGUUUUCGGCUCCACCGUACAAUUGCAGUUGAUACUGUCAUCCUUGAGUACAGUAGAGGUCGUCGGAAUUCGUUUUGUAGCGGUGAACUGCUUAGAUAUCCCGAAGAACUCCGAUUGCGAAGGCGGCCUGCUGGACUGUACCUGACGCUGCUGCUCGAACGUGUGGGUAUCAAACAGGAUUAGAUACCCCAGUAGUC
This 460-nucleotide ribosomal RNA is filed under the name uncultured bacterium. Its description in RNAcentral is "partial 16S ribosomal RNA". It matches the Rfam family "Bacterial small subunit ribosomal RNA", at positions 338 to 795 of the family's 1533-position model. The record is from RNAcentral.